This 380-nucleotide ribosomal RNA is filed under the name uncultured Acidobacteriota bacterium. RNAcentral describes it as "bacterial SSU rRNA". It matches the Rfam family "Bacterial small subunit ribosomal RNA", at positions 521 to 896 of the family's 1533-position model. Lineage: Bacteria; Pseudomonadati; Acidobacteriota. The record is from RNAcentral.
UAAUACGUAGGGAGCAAACGUUGUCCGGAUUUAUUGGGCGUAAAGGGCUCGUAGGCGGUUCAACAAGUCGAUCGUGAAAGCCCGGGGCUCAACCCCGGGAGGCCGGUCGAAACUGUUGUGACUAGAGUUCGGUAGAGGUGAGUGGAAUUCUCGGUGUAGCGGUGGAAUGCGCAGAUAUCGAGAGGAACACCAUUAGCGAAGGCGGCUCACUGGGCCGAUACUGACGCUGAGGAGCGAAAGCGUGGGGAGCAAACAGGAUUAGAUACCCUGGUAGUCCACGCCGUAAACGAUGAACACUAGGUGUGGCGGACUGAUUCAUGUCUGCCGUGUCGAAGCUAACGCAUUAAGUGUUCCGCCUGGGGAGUACGGCCGCAAGGCUA